CACACUGCUCCGGCAGUGUUUUGCAAGGCGAUUCCAGCCAUCCAAAAGGUUCCCAAAAAUUCCCAAAUUAAUUGUGUAUCAUCUUUCAUAUGUUUUCUAUACUUUGGCAAAAUUUCAGAAGGUUUGAAGCUCUUAUGAUUUAUUUAUGAAUUUGUAAACAUCACUGCCCAUCUGGAAUACAUUUUUGGUAAACAAUCUUUGGGAGGCCAUAAGUAAAGUUUCAAUCGGUGAAAACCUUUGAAACUUGAAUAUGUCACUCUAGACUCCCGUAUCUUUCUUUUGACAUCGGCCUCACCAUUUUUGAGUAAGGGAAACAACCGGUAUAAAUUCUUGAAAUCUAGUUCUUAUUCCAUGUACCAUCCAGUAGAUUUUACAAACCUACGACUUUGAGGUGGCAAAUACCGACUUAAAUCUUUGAUUCUCAAGCCUAUCUUUCUACUGAAUAUUCACUGACAUGUUGGGAACUUACUUGUUCAGUUUUAGAAUUUUUGGUGAAGCCUAAAGUGGUUUUUCCGAUUUAUGUUCUGAAUCUGCCAAACUUGAACUCUUUUUGUGCACUGAACUUUAGAUAGUCAUAUCUUCUAAACCAUGAAUGUUCUUAGAGUAAAUCCAACUGGAGAGUGUUAUGAUCUCUCCCUAGUUUCCAGAUUGACCCUUGGGGUUCCCAGUGGAGUUUUGUAAAGGGAGAUAUGAAUUUUUAAAGAAAGCCCACUGACUUGGUUGUAAUCUGGAAAUCUGAAAUUUUCAGAUUUUUGCUAGUUAAAUACCCAUCUUUGAGAGGGCAUAUCUUGCUCGUUUGAAUUGUUUUUCAUUCGAUUCAAAUUGGAGAAUGAUCCUUGAAAUGUCUAGUUUCCAGAAUGUCUUUUGGAGCCUCAUUUGGAGAUCCGAGGCAGAUUUGGUGUCUGUUGCAAAACAACCUCUUAAGAGCUCAAGUUGUUGAAUUAUUUUCUAUGUAUCAAAGUUUAUUUUAAAGGAUGUUUCAUGAAAGAUUUAGUAUAUGUGCGUAACAAGUUUGGGACUAUUUAUUUUAAAUGAGGUCCGUUCUUUAUUUAAAUUAUGAUGGACUUUUAAUGAAUAUUUUUGGGAUUAAACUCUUAUUUCUUGAUUUAUAUAAAUUAUUUUUUUAAGGACUUAUAAAUAUGAAUUUCGUAGGCCUACUGACCUACUGUGAUCGACGGUUUGUCGAUGUCUAAUAGCUUUGAAAAUUUUAUAGCAAGUCCCUACAUGAGUCUUGAGUACCCUGGUAAAAUUUCAAGCCAUUCCAACUUCGUUUGAUACUUCUUUAAAAUGCAAAACCUAAACUGCACAUUACUACCGAGAAUUUCAGAGAACAGAUGAAAGAGUCAUUUAUUUCAGUAGCUUCCUGUGUGAUCUAGCUUUCCAAAUUUUUAUGGUAUUCACCUUAUUGUGUUAGCUAGAUAUCCACCAAAGUUGAGCCCAGUUUGACAACGUUUACUAUUUUUAAAAAAAUCCAAGUUUUCGAUUGUUCAAAACUGCCGAACAUGGUAGAUCGUGGUAAAAACGUCAUAUCUCUCAAACCACUUGGAGUUUUCGACUCUACUUUUUUUUAUAUGAAACUAGAUUCGAAGAUCUUUCUUUCAGUAUGAGUCUCGAGUCCAGGAGAUGUCGGAGUCAGAACAGAUUAAAUUUUGAAGUUGAGUCAGUGUAAAAACAGAGCAUGUUUUAAUGAUGUUUUUGGACUUCGGACUUUAAAGCGAACUAUUAUCAUUUAUUUCUUUAAAGCCACUGGUUUAUUUAAUUAAUUGGCUACUCUCUUUUGAGCCUAUUAAUUAUUUGAGGUUACGCUAGUAAUGAUGUAACGAAUUAUGGAUGCUAGAACCCUAAAACACUAAAAGAUACCCUAGGCACGUAGAAUUAGACUUUGUCUUAUGACAAUUACUUCACGAACUUAUCGACUCUUCAUCAAUGAAGGUCCGGGCGACAGAAAGUGAAGCCGAAGAAGAAACGACUCCACGCCAGCUUUAAGAACAAUUGAGGUGGGCAAUUUCUUACGCGUAAAUAAAAUGCUAUGCAAGUGUUAUGCUUUAAAAUGCAAAUUGGAUCUUCAAGUAUGGUAUGCUUUAUUACGCUUAAAUGAGUUAAGCUUUAUUAUGCUGCACGUUAAAUGAUUUACGCUAUGCUGUUUAUAUUAUUUACGCUUGAAUGCUUUACGCUGAUAAGAUUUAUGCUUAUGUUUGAUGCUUGCGUCUGUUGGGGGAGGCCUCCCUCAACAGUACGAUGCCGUGUCCGUUGAGGAGGGCCUUCCUCACGGCGCGAUGCCCGUGUCCGCUGAGAGAGGCCUCUCUCGCGGCGCGAUGCCCGUGUCCGCUGAGAGAGGCCUCUCUCGCGGCGCGAUGCCAGUAUGCCAGUGUUACAGCGUCUAUUGGGGGAGGCCUCCCUCAAUAGUACGAUGCCGUGACCGCUGAGGGAGGCCCCCUUCACGGUGCGAUGCCCGUGUUCGUUGGGGAAGGCCUUCUCCACGACACGAUGCGUGUUGAUGAUUGUUAAUGAUGAAGAAUGCGCUCAUGCUGUUUAUGAAUAUGGAAAUGUUUAAUGAGCAAAGGAUUUGAAAGAAACUUAUGCCUCUUAUGCGAAGUUGUGUUUUGUUGUUGAUGUUAUGUUAUAUGCUUGGCAACUGCCCACUAAGUACUCUUGUACUUAGCCCUUCGAUGUUUAUGUUUGUGCAGGUUGAGCUGUGAUGGGCGAUGAAGUGUUGUUGCUGAGUGGAGUUUUUGUCGAACUUAAAGUAGGCUCA
Molecule: long non-coding RNA, 2755 nt
Filed under: Salvia miltiorrhiza (redroot sage)
Lineage: Eukaryota; Viridiplantae; Streptophyta; Magnoliopsida; Lamiales; Lamiaceae
Description: long non-coding RNA (SMIL_LNC000581)
Source: RNAcentral